Egretta garzetta (little egret) is the source of this 7138-nucleotide long non-coding RNA. RefSeq lists it as uncharacterized. NCBI's taxonomy places the organism in Eukaryota, Metazoa, Chordata, Aves, Pelecaniformes, Ardeidae. The transcript has 6 exons. The record is from RefSeq and is a predicted model, not a curated record.
GCUCGGGCUGGCCCGGAGCGCAGGCGGCGGGUUCGCCCCUGAGCGAGCUCCGGCAGGGGCCAGGCCCUCCGCGGGAGGCUUUCCCUGGGCGCAGUUAGGCUGGUAGCUGGUUAAACGUAAUAUAUCGAUAAUGUUAACGCGCUAACGCCGUCUGUGAGCAACAGCAUAUUGCUUUAUGUAGAGACCUGGGGAAAAAUAGGGGUCUCUAGUCGAACACAUGAUUUCUGUCCAGCUGUGGUUAUCUUUAAGGAUUAUGAAAUUCUCAGGGUCUAAUCCUAUAAGCCUCGUGAGUGCACAUCAUUCCUAGUCAUGCAAGUAAUACAUUUCUCUCAUUCCAAGUUGUUUAUUGCUCCUAGGUGUAUCCAAUCUCCUGUGAAAUGUUGAAAGGCAAACCUUCUGAAGAAGACAAAACGAAAUACCUCUGCUUUUGCCCAAGCAGAGAGGGAUGGGAAGCAGUAUGUGUGGUAUCAUCUCAGCCCAGUUCUGGGGCAUCUCAGUCCAACUGCUGGGUUACAGAGGGACUAGGAUAAUGAAGUGCUGCAAAAACCCGGAGUGCUGUUAUGCAGAUAUGAAGAUCCAGGGCAGCUGCUGCCUUUGCUUUCACGUCUUCAGAAGUUUCCUAGGAGACUGAUGAGCUCUGGGCAUUAAAGCUGAAGGAGCCAAACACCAAAUUGAAUGUGAAUUGCCAAUGCAGAAUGGAUGAAGAAUGGAAGGAUAUAUCUGGAGGAAGCAUGUCACACGAUGGGAACGGUAGCUUUGACACCAGUUUGUAUUACGUGAUACGAUCAAUGUCCUUUGUACUUCUAAUUAGAAAAAAACCAUCGUCUUACUUGGAGAAAUUUGUCAGAUAAGUAAAGAUCGGGGUGAGCAAUGUUACUGCUUUCUGGGGGCUUGUGUCCUGUUAGAAGUGUGCUGCUGCAAAAUGGCUGUUCCUAGGGUAAGGUUGAUGUGCCAGCUGGAACUGCUGAUUUCCUUUGAAACUCCUGGUUUUGUAAUUAUUCAUGGCAGAAAAAAAAAAAGUUCCUUCCCAUAUGAACGUCUGGCUUGCUGAGCUGUGGGGUGAGCCAAGUAGGUUAUUUUCUUCAGUGUCUGCAUUUUUUCCCAAUUACAUUGUGCCAGUUGUUAGCACACAGUUUUAUUUACCUGUGCUUCCAAAUUCACAAGUUCCCUGUUCUGGAAAAGUUCAGCAGCACCCCUUGGGGAGCUUGUCUUGGGAUUGCCUUGUAUCUAUGAGGGAAUAAUAUUCUUAUGCCCAAUACAGCCCUUUAUGUAAACUUUUUUUUUCUAGAUCGCGUUUCUAACACUUUCUAACCUUAAUUGGGUUUCAGGAAAUGGAAAGGUGGUGCUGUGCGGUGGAGCUGCCAUGCCUUGCCAGACAGUAGCUGAUGGGUGAACUAGAGCUCUAAUUGCUGACACUCUGCUGUGCAAACUGAGAAACCAUGGGCUUGCUGAUCCUAAAAUCAUAAAGCUUCCUUUAACACGUUCUCCUACACAAGCUGCCAUUCCUUAAUCGUGAAUGUUUUGCAUCUAAUGCAGCCCAUGUUAUUCUGGGAAAUCUUACUAAGUCUCUGAUGCUGGCUAACUCUUGAAUCCAUGUGGUUGGACAUGGGAGGAGAAACAUAUCUCAGUGAGAUGAGUGGGAUCUACCAGCACAGAUCACAAGUCCUGGUGUCCUGUGGAUGUGCUGUGUCCUGCUGCAGACGACCUUUGUGUGUCACUUUGAGCUUUCAAAUGCCAGCUCCUGCAUGGGUGCACGGCCUGGCACAAAGCGGGGGAUGGCUCUGAAUGCCAUCAGCACUGAUGGUGGUAUCAAAGAAAAUUGGAACUCACGUACCCAAACUUCUGCAAGUGUGUGAUGAAAGGAUCCCAGAGAACAUAACAAACUUCAUCCCUGCUCUGUCUCUUUUUCCAGCAGUAGAAGCUGCAGGGUGACAGCGGUGGGAUGAUCAGAUGGCCCUUUAGUGGGUAGAAGGAACCCAGGCAGCAGCGGAGGAUGUUGCAGCAGCAGGACUUGAGCGCUGGACCAGAAUGACAGGACUGCGGCGGCGACUGUUCAGCCUUCCAUGGUUCCCAUUUGCCUGUCACUUCCUCGAGUGACGCUGACCUAAAGCUAAAGAACGCUGGGGCUUAUCUAACACAAUUGCACGGACCACAGGAAAGUUUUCAACGCUUGUUGGGCUGGAAGCGUUCAGGAGCAGGAAUUGCAGAGUUUGUACCGUUCCUGGCCUGCUUGAGCCUGAGGCUGCUGCAUGCGACUGCUGUGUGCAUGGUGCUGCUGUGCUUACGCUGUCCGGGCGAGCUGGAACGCUGAGCUAAUUCUAGCUUUGCUAUCCCGCUUCCCAGUUAGGAAAGGCCCCAGGAAGGUAAUGAGAAGGUAUAUGGGAUGUGAUUGAUUUGUUUGGAGUUUUUUUUUUGUUUGUUUUCCUUGCUGAAAAGUUGUUUUGGUAGCUUCAUGUUGGGCCCUCCAGGCCGUAAGAUGACUGAGUGUGGGAGGAGGGCUUGUCAUGAAGCGUUGAUGUGAUUUAUGUAGUUAUAGGUGUAUAUAAAGGACAGGAAAACUUUUUCCUUGUUUUCCAUCUUGUUUGUAACUGUAGAAAUAUCAAGGAUAUCUCACUCUGGUUUCGUUGUACUUUAUCUGUACAGGAAGACUUCCAAGGGCUUGAGAAUCAAAGGUGUCUCAUCUUGAGCGAGAGCCCUGCCUUUUGCAGUGAUCUUGAUUCCUAGAUGCUUAUCGGGAGCUGAUUUAUGUAGGGUUAACAAAAAAGGGGAAAACCCCAAACCCACAGCUCUGUCUUCAUUGCUUGGGUUUCACUCUUCUGAUAGGGGUGCCAUGGAUGAUCCUGGAAGCUCCUUAGUCAUCUGUAUUUGCCAGGAUCAGAGUGAACAAGUCCUAAAGAUCUAACGUUUGAACAAGUUUUUGCUUGUUUCUACAUUGCUCUUAUUGUUCAUGGGAGGCUGCCUGCCCAUCUGGUUUUUUCCUAGUUCUUACUUAAAUUUCAGAGACUAAAGCCAGUCCAAGAGCACUCCCAGCCUGGAUCAGCGGGUAAGAGAUGGGCUUGCUUGAAGAUCCCACCACAGUGGUGCCUUGCAUCAGACUAGAUUUGGGAAACAUGCACUUCAACCAAAGACUUUGAGGAUGUUGAAAUUCUUCAGAUUGUUUUAUCAUUUGAAAAACAAACUUUGCAAGAAUUAAGUUAAAGGUGAAGAGUUCAGUGUUCUUCCUCCACCAGCGGGGUGUUCAGUUUCAGGCCCUGAGCUGUGCUGGAAAGAGUUGGUGUUUAACAAUGUCUGUGUCCAAAAAAAAAAAAAAAGCAAAGGCAGCUUGAACUGCUAGUGUCCCCGAUUCAUUUCCUUUGCUGGUAUCUGCAGAUGCUGUGUCCCUUGGGCAGCGCUCUCCAGCUGUACUCGUAGCGCAGCUUGUAACCAGGGAGGGAUUACAAAGCCUGGGAUUUCUUCCCUUGUGCUCCCAGGCCAGUUGUGAAGCCCUUGGGGCUGGUUCAGUGAAGCCUGUGGGGCAAGUCAUUGCUGGGCUGUAUCCGAUGGGAGUCCAGCUCCCCAGCUGGGUGUAGGAUCCUCUUUGCCCUUGGUUUUUUGCUUUCCUGAUGCUCCCCCCUCGGUGGGUUGCUUCUUUCUGCGUCGGUCAAGCACGAAGCAGAGGAAGGUCCUUGUGGGGUUCCUAGAGGGCUGUGCUUUGGGAACAGCAGGUACUUUUUUGGGUGUCAUGGGCUGUGUGCCUACAGUUUGAGCAAGAGUCAUGAGGGGCAGCAUGGCUUAACCACAGCUUCUGCCUCUUCACCGGAAGGUGCAAUGGAUUUCAGUGCUCUGAGGGUUUUGCAUUUCUCUUAAUGUUUGCUGAAAUGAGCAGAGAGCUGUGAAAUCCCAUCCUGGCAUGGGUGUGAAUUUCCCUUCAGUUGUAAAUCUUCUUUAAAGGCAAAGGGAUUAUAAUUUUAAAAUACUGAGAUGUAGAAUACUUGCUUUGCAGAGGCUUGAGGUGAAAAGACUUGGUGCCAGAAGUUACUGCUGUGGACACGUUAACUCUUUUUGCAGGAGCGGCUGAGGGUUGUGUGUAUCAUUUCCUUUUAAUCUGCCCAUAAAUUCCAGGUUCCUUCUCCUCUUUGAAGCUCCUUAAUGCUUAAAUUGUUCUUUUUCUCUACCCAUACAUACCAAUUGCACCGGUUGUCUUACUGCAGUCUUCUUCCCUAUUGCAUCGCUACUGAACAUAACUUCCCUUUUUUGCUUCUGGGAAUAAAGUGAGACCUCUCUUUUCCUAGGAAAUGCUGACUGUUGGGAAUGCUGCCUGCCUUGUACUGGGGAGCCUCCCUGCAUCCCAGCUGGGCUUUGUUUUCUGGUGGGGUUUUUGUGGCGACCCCUCAGAUGCUGUGGAUUUACAGCCUCACUUGUCCUCUGGAACCUUGAGUAAGCGUGCUCCAGCUUCUCUGGGGCUCCUGCUCCGCUUCUGGUUAAAGCCUGAGAUCUUCCCCUGGUCUCCUCCCCUUCAGACCUGUCUGUAGCUGUCUUUGUGGAGAGGACACUCUUCCUUCUGUGAGCUUUCAUCCUAGCACCUCUCUAGCUCUUGAUCUUGCCUCCACUCCUGUCUUGGUAGCUAGCUCUGACCGUGAGAAUUGUCGUUAAAUGCUUCUAUUUUCUAGCACUUUUGCAGAUUUCUGUAGUGUUCCAAGCACGGGAUUUUAAAGUUCAUUAAGAACAAGCAGAACUGCCUGUUCAUCUCCUCUUGGGCUUUCCGGGGUUCCCAGGGCAAACGCACUUACUCCUUGCAUAAUGCUGCGUUGCUUUCAGAUUGUGGGAUAGAUUGAGGUCCUCGCCGGGAGCGCUUUUGCAGAAGCAAGCAGGCGAUAGCAGCGCUCUGGUGUGCCACGAGGAAGGGCUGGCCUGACUGCGAUGGCUGCCAGCACGGUUUCUUAAAUCUUCACGUUUCUUCGGAAUGUGGAGGGAGUGCAGUAGAGCACCGUGCUGGGAAAAGGCAAUUCCUUCCCUGCGACGAGUUUUAGUCUUUGCCGUGUUAAAGAUUGGGACUGUUCGGAAACGACUGAUCCUGUUGCGUUUCCUCAGUGCAGCAGUCAGGACACACAAUUUCCUUUACCUGUUCCACCUGGAAAGAAACUAAUUAAAUAAAAACGGAGGAUAUAAUUCUGAAGCUUGCUUGCUGCUGGGAAUUUUUUGUCCUAUUUGGCAACAACCUGCCAGGUAACUUAAUUCACCAUGAUGAAACAGCAGAGAAGUGGAAGUGAGAUUCAAACGGUUAUCAUGUUGAAGCUUCAGUUUUGAUCUUUAUUUCACUAACGCUUCCACUGCUGCUCACUGCGCUGGGAAUGCCCUGUUAAAGUGGGUGUGGGCCUCAGAGGAGAACUUUUUCUGAUCAGGUACCAUCUUGCACAGUGGGGCUAGGUGAAGUGCGAUUCCCUGGCGUGGUUUGUGGAUCGCUGCUGUUAACAUCCGCGAGAAGCCCUGCGCGUGGCUCUUGUCCAGUUGCGUCUUGAAACGAGAAGGGAAGACGCUGGAUUUCUUGCUGUGUACCAGCCUUACCUGCGCUGUCGGAUCAGAGCCAGCGACCUCGGGGUGAUGCUGUGGCCAAGACCUGCUCUACACCAAAACUGUUGGCUACAGCUGUAACUGGGUCCUUACGAUGAACACAAGGCGCUCUCCCUGCUCUGGCGUGGUAGGAUAGCGCAUUUCCUUUGUGCUGUAGGAGCUCCUGCCCUGCUAACCACCACAGCACGGCCAGCGUGGUCCCUUCUGCGUGUGCCACCUGAACUGCGUCAGAGUUGUGCAAAAAACCCCCAGUUCAGUCUAGAGAUCUCGCAGCUCGAUUGCCUAGGAAGAUGUUGCAGAGCAAGGAAGUGGUGCUGGGGUGCAGAGGGGACACUGCACAUCCAGCAGCGUGGUUUGGUGUGAAUACUUUGUCUAAAACGUGUUUCUGUGUCACAGGGUCCUGCUGUGGUUUGACAGGCCCAUGAGAAACUCAACUUGAGCAUUUAUGUUAUCUUGCUGCCCCCACCCCUAAUUCAGGAGCAUCAUCUGAAUAAGAUGUGUUGUGAAGAGCAUUAAAAUGUGUGGAUGGGGGAAGCUGAUACAGAACUUAAAUAAUUAGCAGUAAUUUGUGUGGCAUUGGGGUGGGAGAUGUUUGCAUAAGUUAUUGACAGAGUUGUGUAGGUUCCAUCUCAGCUAAACUCUCCCUGAGAUGUUCUCUCCUGAAAGCUUACAGCUCUGGCUUAUAAACAUGUACAAUAGACAACAUAAAUAAACAGAAAAUUGUACCCAAAGCCAGUAGGUAGGCAGGGAAAGCCUCCCUGCCUAGUGAAGCUUCAGGCAGCCCCUCCUCCCAUGCCUGAGAGCUGAUCACAUUUAAACAUGGGCUGUUAUGCUAUGCUUCAUCGCUUUAAGACAGGCCUUUGCAGGGGCAUAUUCCAAAAAUGUCAGGGGCCAAACAGUAUGUCCCUAACUUUCUAAACAUUCUUCUGGCGUUAAAGGGUCAGUUUCUCCAGGGUGAAAUCUGGAGGGGGAAGUAAGAAAACUUUACAACUCUAAAGAAAAUAGCAAUGGGAACUUUAUUUUUGCUUGUCAUCGUUUUUUGAUUCAGCCGUAAGUAUUCUUUAUUAAAAAGUGACCCUGGAAGUUUUUAGAAGUUUACUGAAACCUUUUAGUUUCUCUUCUUAGAUGCAGAGGUUGGCUGGCCUGGAGAGAUGUUUAGGGAGCUCUGAGCUCAGCCAUGUUGGUGUGGUGGGGAUGCUGCACAUCUAGGACUCCGGUACUGAAGACUUUCUACUUUUAAACAUCUGCAGGGCACCGCUCUCCAGCCCUGUGGCUGCACAAAAGCCUCACGCAGCAACUGGAGGCAGCCAAAUGGCUCCUGGAGAUAGGGUGACGGUUCUGUUAUCUGCAGCAGCUUUACUGUCACACGGAAAGUAAAAGCACCACAACCUGAUGCUUCUCAGCUGUGGAGCUGGCUUGGACCCGCUCCAGCGCUCGUGGCCAGGUGGCAGCUGUGCAGGCUCGGUGCGGAGGGAUGAUAAUAGCGCCGAGCUGUAAACAGGACGCUCCACCCUGCCGCGGCUCCUCUCCCUCCCGCACCCUCCGCCUCGGGCCCGGCACGCUGCGCUGUGCACGCAGCCUUUGCACC